UCCCAGGACUAAACCAAGAUGAAGCCAAA
RNAcentral lists this non-coding RNA (29 nucleotides) under Homo sapiens (human). The record is from RNAcentral. Lineage: Eukaryota; Metazoa; Chordata; Mammalia; Primates; Hominidae.